Molecule: ribosomal RNA, 516 nt
Filed under: uncultured bacterium
Lineage: Bacteria
Description: bacterial SSU rRNA
Rfam family: Bacterial small subunit ribosomal RNA
Source: RNAcentral
UCGAACGCGAAGCCCGGGCAACUGGGUGAGUAAAGUGGCGCACGGGUGAGUAAUACGUGAGUAACCUACCCUUCAGUGGGGAAUAACUCCUCGAAAGGGGAGCUAAUACCGCAUAAGACCACGAUUUCUCUAGCGAUCGAGGUCAAAGGUAGCCUCAUCAGUCAAAGUGUUUACGUGGUUAUUUCCUUUGGAAAUAUGGACGUGAAUGCUUUACCGAGAGAAGCUGUCGCUGAAGGAGGGGCUCGCGUCCCAUCAGCUAGUUGGUAGGGUAAUGGCCUACCAAGGCUACGACGGGUAGCUGGUCUAAGAGGACGGCCAGCCACACGGGAAUUGAGAUACGGUCCCGACUCCUACGGGAGGCAGCAGUGGGGAAUCUUGGGCAAUGGGGGAAACCCUGACCCAGCGACGCCGUGUGGGGGACGAAAGCCUUCGGGUUGUAAACCCCUGUUAGGUGGGACGAAUGCUUUUCCGUGAAUAACGGGGAAGUUUGACGGUACCAUCANAGAAAGCCCCGGC